UUUAUUCGUGAAUCAUUCCUUUUAGCAGAGUGUCGGUCGAGUUUGAGUAUUAAAACCAGUCUAAACAACAACUCAGAAACUUUACACACAAACAAUUCCACCAAAAAAUGUUCUGAUCUUCGUUUGCAAAAUUCGCCGGAGCAACAAUCUCACCAGAAUUGGAUGAACUCCGGUCGUCGUUGCAGUGUUUAAGAUGCUAGGAUUGCAGGAUGUCAUGGAAUCAAGCUUAGGUGGUCUAGAAACAAACUAAAUAAUUUAUGAGUUGUCGGAACUGUUUUUAUCUGUCUUUGAGAACAAUUUGUCUGUAAUAACUGUGUUACUUUAGAUGUUACGGUAUGGGACGUAAUGAUUAAAUAUUUGGUAAUUUUAGUUGUUAUGGAAUCUCUUGGACAAUCUGUUUUGCUCAGUGUCUCACCUUGAUGUUUUCGCCAUCGGUUGGGGUGUGACAG
This 449-nucleotide long non-coding RNA is filed under the name Helianthus annuus (common sunflower). Lineage: Eukaryota; Viridiplantae; Streptophyta; Magnoliopsida; Asterales; Asteraceae. The record is from RNAcentral.